UACGUAGGGUGCAAGCGUUGUCCGGAAUUAUUGGGCGUAAAGAGCGUGUAGGCGGUUUGGUAGGUCCGCUGUGAAAACUCGAGGCUCAACCUCGAGACGCCGGUGGAAACCAUCAGACUAGAGUCCGGAAGAGGAGAGUGGAAUUCCUGGUGUAGCGGUGAAAUGCGCAGAUAUCAGGAGGAACACCGAUGGCGAAGGCAGGUCUCUGGGCCAUUACUGACACUGAGAAGCGAAAGCAUGGGGAGCGAACAGG
Molecule: ribosomal RNA, 253 nt
Filed under: uncultured bacterium
Lineage: Bacteria
Description: partial 16S ribosomal RNA
Rfam family: Bacterial small subunit ribosomal RNA
Source: RNAcentral